RNAcentral lists this ribosomal RNA (384 nucleotides) under Gyrodinium sp. RNAcentral describes it as "partial small subunit ribosomal RNA". It matches the Rfam family "Eukaryotic small subunit ribosomal RNA", at positions 587 to 975 of the family's 1831-position model. Lineage: Eukaryota; Dinophyceae; Gymnodiniales; Gymnodiniaceae. The record is from RNAcentral.
AGCUCCAAUAGCGUAUAUUAAAGUUGUUGCGGUUAAAAAGCUCGUAGUUGGAUUUCUGCUGAGGACGACCGGUCCGCCCUCUGGGUGAGUAUCUGGCUUGGCCUUGGCAUCUUCUUGGAGAACGUAGCUGCACUUGACUGUGUGGUGCGGUAUCCAGGAUUUCUACUUUGAGGAAAUUAGAGUGUUUCAAGCAGGCACACGCAUUGAAUACAUUAGCAUGGAAUAAUAAGAUAGGACCUUGGUUCUAUUUUGUUGGUUUCUAGAGCUGAGGUAAUGAUAAAUAGGGAUAGUUGGGGGCAUUCGUAUUUAACUGUCAGAGGUGAAAUUCUUGGAUCUGUUAAAGACGGACUACUGCGAAAGCAUUUGCCAAGGAUGUUUUCAUUG